Molecule: non-coding RNA, 68 nt
Filed under: unclassified sequences
Description: int-alpA RNA
Rfam family: int-alpA RNA
About the family: Acidobacteria (1 example), Planctomycetes (1 example), Proteobacteria. Environment (Lake Washington)
Source: Rfam by way of RNAcentral
CAGUGGGAUAGGGUAGCUCCCGAAAAGCGUAAACCGUAAUACGCCUGUCCACUGUUUUAUAAUUACGG